GCAGGACACAUGAACAUCGACAUUUCGAACGCACAUUGCGGCCCUAGGACUUGUUCCUGGGCCACACCUGACUGAGGGUCGGUUGACCAAACUCAACGACCAGACUGUC
This 109-nucleotide ribosomal RNA is filed under the name Scirtothrips dorsalis. RNAcentral describes it as "partial 5.8S ribosomal RNA". The stretch from base 1 to 81 matches the Rfam family "5.8S ribosomal RNA", at positions 74 to 154 of the family's 154-position model. Rfam says of the family: 5.8S ribosomal RNA (5.8S rRNA) is a component of the large subunit of the eukaryotic ribosome. Lineage: Eukaryota; Metazoa; Arthropoda; Insecta; Thysanoptera; Thripidae. The record is from RNAcentral.